RNAcentral lists this long non-coding RNA (226 nucleotides) under Phoenix dactylifera (date palm). RNAcentral describes it as "long non-coding RNA (PDAC_LNC004847)". The record is from RNAcentral. Lineage: Eukaryota; Viridiplantae; Streptophyta; Magnoliopsida; Arecales; Arecaceae.
GGCCCACUCCGUAGGAUAUAAGUGCGGUUCUAUUUCUGGCCUAGCCACAGGGUAUAAGUGUGGUCGUAGCUAAAGGCUGAUGAGAUGAAUGUGAUUUGUUUUGAAUCAGAUUUAUGAUUAUGUAUAUGGAUAUUUGAAAAAUAUGAAUUUUAAUAAAUUUGUGCUUGAAAAGGAAUUGAUUAUGUUAUUAUGUUGAUUCAUCGCAAUUUGUAUUUAUAUUUUAUGU